Molecule: ribosomal RNA, 388 nt
Filed under: uncultured bacterium
Lineage: Bacteria
Description: bacterial SSU rRNA
Rfam family: Bacterial small subunit ribosomal RNA
Source: RNAcentral
GACGAACGCUGGCGGCGUGCUUAACACAUGCAAGUCGAGCGGUAAGGCCCUUUCGGGGGUACACGAGCGGCGAACGGGUGAGUAACACGUGGGCGACCUGCCCUCAGCUCUGGGAUAAGCCUGGGAAACCGGGUCUAAUACCGGAUAUGACUCCAUGACGCAUGUUGUGGGGUGGAAAGCCUUGUGCGGCUGAGGAUGGGCCCGCGGCCUAUCAGCUUGUUGGUGGGGUGANGGCCUACCAAGGCGACGACGGGUAGCCGGCCUGAGAGGGCGACCGGCCACACUGGGACUGAGACACGGCCCAGACUCCUACGGGAGGCAGCAGUGGGGAAUCUUGCGCAAUGGGCGAAAGCCUGACGCAGCAACGCCGCGUGAGGGAAGACGGCCU